Molecule: ribosomal RNA, 1029 nt
Filed under: Klebsiella pneumoniae
Lineage: Bacteria; Pseudomonadati; Pseudomonadota; Gammaproteobacteria; Enterobacterales; Enterobacteriaceae
Description: bacterial SSU rRNA
Rfam family: Bacterial small subunit ribosomal RNA
Source: RNAcentral
UGCAAGUCGAGCGGUAGCACAGAGAGCUUGCUCUCGGGUGACGAGCGGCGGACGGGUGAGUAAUGUCUGGGAAACUGCCUGAUGGAGGGGGAUAACUACUGGAAACGGUAGCUAAUACCGCAUAACGUCGCAAGACCAAAGUGGGGGACCUUCGGGCCUCAUGCCAUCAGAUGUGCCCAGAUGGGAUUAGCUAGUAGGUGGGGUAACGGCUCACCUAGGCGACGAUCCCUAGCUGGUCUGAGAGGAUGACCAGCCACACUGGAACUGAGACACGGUCCAGACUCCUACGGGAGGCAGCAGUGGGGAAUAUUGCACAAUGGGCGCAAGCCUGAUGCAGCCAUGCCGCGUGUGUGAAGAAGGCCUUCGGGUUGUAAAGCACUUUCAGCGGGGAGGAAGGCGAUAAGGUUAAUAACCUUGUCGAUUGACGUUACCCGCAGAAGAAGCACCGGCUAACUCCGUGCCAGCAGCCGCGGUAAUACGGAGGGUGCAAGCGUUAAUCGGAAUUACUGGGCGUAAAGCGCACGCAGGCGGUCUGUCAAGUCGGAUGUGAAAUCCCCGGGCUCAACCUGGGAACUGCAUUCGAAACUGGCAGGCUAGAGUCUUGUAGAGGGGGGUAGAAUUCCAGGUGUAGCGGUGAAAUGCGUAGAGAUCUGGAGGAAUACCGGUGGCGAAGGCGGCCCCCUGGACAAAGACUGACGCUCAGGUGCGAAAGCGUGGGGAGCAAACAGGAUUAGAUACCCUGGUAGUCCACGCCGUAAACGAUGUCGAUUUGGAGGUUGUGCCCUUGAGGCGUGGCUUCCGGAGCUAACGCGUUAAAUCGACCGCCUGGGGAGUACGGCCGCAAGGUUAAAACUCAAAUGAAUUGACGGGGGCCCGCACAAGCGGUGGAGCAUGUGGUUUAAUUCGAUGCAACGCGAAGAACCUUACCUGGUCUUGACAUCCACAGAACUUACGCAGAGAUGCUUUGGUGCCUUCGGGAACUGUGAGACAGGUGCUGCAUGGCUGUCGUCAGCUCGUGUUGUGAAAUGU